This 544-nucleotide ribosomal RNA is filed under the name Debaryomyces hansenii. RNAcentral's name for it is "eukaryotic LSU rRNA". It matches the Rfam family "Eukaryotic large subunit ribosomal RNA", at positions 61 to 610 of the family's 3401-position model. Lineage: Eukaryota; Fungi; Ascomycota; Pichiomycetes; Serinales; Debaryomycetaceae. The record is from RNAcentral.
GAAACCAACAGGGAUUGCCUUAGUAACGGCGAGUGAAGCGGCAAAAGCUCAAAUUUGAAAUCUGGCACCUUCGGUGUCCGAGUUGUAAUUUGAAGAAGGUAACUUUGGAGUUGGCUCUUGUCUAUGUUCCUUGGAACAGGACGUCACAGAGGGUGAGAAUCCCGUGCGAUGAGAUGCCCAAUUCUAUGUAAAGUGCUUUCGAAGAGUCGAGUUGUUUGGGAAUGCAGCUCUAAGUGGGUGGUAAAUUCCAUCUAAAGCUAAAUAUUGGCGAGAGACCGAUAGCGAACAAGUACAGUGAUGGAAAGAUGAAAAGAACUUUGAAAAGAGAGUGAAAAAGUACGUGAAAUUGUUGAAAGGGAAGGGCUUGAGAUCAGACUUGGUAUUUUGCGAUCCUUUCCUUCUUGGUUGGGUUCCUCGCAGCUUACUGGGCCAGCAUCGGUUUGGAUGGUAGGAUAAUGACUAAGGAAUGUGGCUCUACUUCGGUGGAGUGUUAUAGCCUUGGUUGAUACUGCCUGUCUAGACCGAGGACUGCGUCUUUGACUAG